AUCAACAAGUGCCCACACAGAUUGUCUGAUAAAUUGUUAAAGAGCAAAAAAGAACGACGCACUGCCAAAUUUAACUACUUCACAACAGCGCAUCGUUGUGUGGUGCGGAUUAUAGAGAAAUCCUAAACCAACGCAAGUACUUUUUAUAAUUUUUACAGAAAAAAACAUUAAUUGCUCAAAAUAAGAACUAAGGUCUAUAUUUCCUCUACCACUCCUUUAUGGCUAAAUCCAGCUUCGAUGCUCAACUCGAAUAUGUGUAUGCUCUCUUCCUUCCUGAUGUUCAUAGUCAUAUUUAAAACCACGCAAUUUAACCUGAAUAUUAUUUUCUUGAGCAAAUACAUUGGUAAAGUCCUCUAGUAAUUCCAAUACAUCACUUGCAAUAUAUAAAGCCCGCUUGGCAUUAAUUGUAACUUUUGAAUUAGGUUGAAUAUUUUUUAAAGUUUUCUUAAUCGCUGCCUUAUUCAAAAAAGAGACUUUUCCACCUAGCUCAAGUAUAAUCUUAUCCGCAUCAGCUAAUUCUUCACGGCUCAAGUAAUAAGCUCUUUUCAUAUUUCCAUACAGAAUGAAUAGAAUACUAAUCACUAAGCCAAUCCCUACCCCUUUCAGCAAAUCAAGGAAAACAACAGAAACCAUUGUUGCAACGAAAGGAAUAAAUUGAUAACUCCCCUUACACCAAAAAGGUUUAUAAUGCUUUGGAUGUGUCAAUUUAUAUCCAAUCAAUAUUAAUACUGCCGCUAACGUUGCAAGGGGAAUCUGGUUGAGCACACUUGGAAUAGUUAAUACACACAUAAGCAACAAAACACCAUGAAAUACCGCAGAUGUUUUAUGAGUCGCUCCUGCAUUUGCAUUAGCAGAAGAACGCACAAUGACCGAUGUCAUAGGUAAACCUCCUAUCGAAGAGGUUAAUAUAUUAGCAAAACCUUGUACUCGUAACUCAUGAUUAUUAUCCGUAAUUCGACGGCGAACAUCU
This 970-nucleotide ribosomal RNA is filed under the name Glaesserella parasuis 29755. RNAcentral describes it as "partial 16S ribosomal RNA". Lineage: Bacteria; Pseudomonadati; Pseudomonadota; Gammaproteobacteria; Pasteurellales; Pasteurellaceae. The record is from RNAcentral.